AUGAAGUCUAAACAUUUGGGAGUGCCGGAUGAUUGUCCCAGGUGCUGUCGAGGAAUAGAAGACAGCUUUCAUGCUGUUGUGGUGUGCCCUAUCUCCAGCGCUGUUUGGGAUGCUAUGGGGGAAGUCUGGAACAUCCCAGCAAAGGAGGUGAUUAUAAACACAUGCCAUGAAUGGCUCUUUGAUCUGCUAGUUACCCUUGAGGAGGAGGUCCGGGCAAAAAUCUUGAUGAUCAUAUGGAGGAACUGGCAGUUGCGCAAUGAUGCCCUGCAUGACAAGAAUGUAGCGCCGGUUGAGGCCACAAGAGGUUUCUUGCAGAGCUAUAUGGCAUAUCUGAAUCAAAUAAGAUUUGACAAGGGUUAUGAGAUGCUAAAAGGGAAGGGUGUAGUUGAACCUGAUGUAAAAGCUGUGGAAAGUCCAGAGAUAGACAAAUCAAUUGUAGGUCACCUUGUAAUGGAGAUUAAGGAGAUGAUGAGAGAAAGGGAGCUUGUGAUACGUCUUGUUGGUCGUUUGCAGAAUAGAACUGCAGAUCGGCUUGCCUAUAUGUCGAGAGUGGAGCACAUCACCGAUUUGUGGCUGCAUGUGCCUCCAGCUGCUCUUGUGAGCUAUCUGGCAAGCGAUUGUACAACUAUUCCAUAA
Molecule: ribosomal RNA, 636 nt
Filed under: Triticum aestivum (bread wheat)
Lineage: Eukaryota; Viridiplantae; Streptophyta; Magnoliopsida; Poales; Poaceae
Description: partial small subunit ribosomal RNA
Source: RNAcentral